Molecule: RNA transcript, 1705 nt
Organism: Vigna angularis (adzuki bean)
Lineage: Eukaryota; Viridiplantae; Streptophyta; Magnoliopsida; Fabales; Fabaceae
Gene name: abhydrolase domain-containing protein C22H12.03
Exons: 14
Source: RefSeq, a predicted model, not a curated record
GGUAACCGACCGUGACAUAGAAAGAGAGAUAUUGGCGCCCCUCUCUCUCUCUUUCUCCGCCAACGGCGCCACAGCAUUGUUUGCUGCUUUCCUCCGCCCCCAUUCUUUCCUCCGCCCCCAUUCUUUCCUCUUCCACUUUUUUCCGAUCUGCAUUUGCAUUCUCUUUAGAUGCCGCUUUUCUCUCAGUCCUCGCCCUGCUGCACCGCCGCGGCGGUGGCGGCGAUUAACUCGUCGGACCGGAAGACGAAAUUCGCCUCAGCUGCAUGGAGGAAUUGCAAGGUCACAUCUCCACUUCUUCGUCUCUCCGAGAAUGACAAAUUCAACGUUUCUCGGUUAGCUCUUGGCCACUCUAGGCGGGGAGUUAAAGGCCAGACCAUAUCAAUGGCAUUAGUGGGCAACACUGUUGGGAAAAAAGGGGAGGUGGCCACCUCCUCUAGCAUCUUGGCAUAUGAUUUGAUUCAGGGGGAACUUGUGAGAUGGAGUUCUGUUAUGGACAGAUCUUUACCUGACCCACCAACAGCUGUUUUUCUGCAUGGAAUCCUAGGAUGCAGGAAAAACUGGGGAAGUUUUGCUAGGAGAUUGGCCCUAGAGUUUCCUACAUGGCAGUUCCUUUUAGUAGACCUACGAUGUCACGGUGAUUCAGCAUCAAUGAAGAAGAGAGAUCCCCAUACUGUAGCAUCUGCUGCUAGUGACGUUCUAAAACUAGUUCGAGAUCUAAGAAUAACACCUCGUGUGCUAGUUGGUCAUAGUUUUGGGGGGAAAGUUGUUUUGAGCAUGGUGGACCAAGCUGCAAAGCCUCUUGCUCGGCCAGUUAGAGCUUGGGUUCUGGAUGCAACGCCUGGAAAAGUUCGAGCUGGUGGAGAUGGAGAAGAUCAUCCAGCAGAACUUAUAUCCUUUCUAAGCACACUGCCCAAGGAGAUAUCUACAAAGCAGGAAGUUGUACGAGCUCUUAUCCAACAAGGAUUUUCCAAUGAUGUGGCACAGUGGGUUGUGACUAACCUGCGACCUUCCAGCUCUUGUGGUUCACAAUCGUCUGGCUUCGCAUGGGUGUUUGACCUAAGGGGGAUUGCAGAAAUGUAUCAAUCCUAUGAAGAAACAAAUUUGUGGAAAAUUGUUGAAGAUGUACCUCGUGGAGUGCAUAUGAACUUUUUGAAAGCAGAAAGAAGCUUGCAUAGAUGGGCUCUUGAAGAUCUUCGGCGGAUCCAUGCGGCUGAAGAGCUUGCAGCUGAGGAAGGAGGUGGAGUUGAAAUGCACGUCCUUGAAGAUGCUGGCCACUGGACAUUUUCAGGGUUUACCCCUAAGGCUUGGGAACAUUGCACGCUAUCAGCAGUCUUUCAUCUAAAGAUCAACGUUGUUAAAUGGCAGCACCAUGGUAGAAUACUGCAAGGGUGUGCGACAUAAUAUUGCCAACUACCUUGAGACAAUUCGUAAAGAGGGGUCUGCUAUGACGGUACAAUACUGCAAGGGUGCAUGCUGAUAACCCAGACGGACUCUUCAGGAUACUGUCAUCAUCUUUCCAGGGAGGCAAGACCUGAGAUUGCAAAUGUCUACUAGAUGGGAUUUUCCCUUCGAAGUUUGACGCCAUUCCUUCCCAUUUUCUUUGUUUAGUUAUCCCUUUUGUAUAUGCUAUUUUAUUUUUUUCACUGUAAUAAUUUUUAUCGUUACCCUAUUCAUUAAAUCUCCUCCUCUCCCAUGUUUUAUGUCA